GCUUCUCACACAUAAAUAAAAGCAGACUGC
Molecule: non-coding RNA, 30 nt
Filed under: Rattus norvegicus (Norway rat)
Lineage: Eukaryota; Metazoa; Chordata; Mammalia; Rodentia; Muridae
Source: RNAcentral